RNAcentral lists this ribosomal RNA (253 nucleotides) under uncultured bacterium. RNAcentral's name for it is "partial 16S ribosomal RNA". It matches the Rfam family "Bacterial small subunit ribosomal RNA", at positions 524 to 776 of the family's 1533-position model. The record is from RNAcentral.
UACGAAGGGGGCUAGCGUUGCUCGGAAUCACUGGGCGUAAAGCGCACGUAGGCGGCUUGUUAAGUCAGGGGUGAAAGCCUGGAGCUCAACUCCAGAACUGCCUUUGAUACUGGCGAGCUUGAGUCCGGGAGAGGUGAGUGGAACUGCGAGUGUAGAGGUGAAAUUCGUAGAUAUUCGCAAGAACACCAGUGGCGAAGGCGGCUCACUGGCCCGAUACUGACGCUGAGGCACGAAAGCGUGGGGAGCAAACAGG